Molecule: long non-coding RNA, 417 nt
Filed under: Medicago truncatula (barrel medic)
Lineage: Eukaryota; Viridiplantae; Streptophyta; Magnoliopsida; Fabales; Fabaceae
Description: long non-coding RNA (MTRU_LNC007374)
Source: RNAcentral
GCACGGUGGCCGGCGAGCCAUCGCGACUGCGCCGCCGCGCCGGAGACAAAAGAGUCUCCCCUUUAUGGAUUUUUAACCUAAAAUUUCACCCUCUUCUCGAUUCUGACCUCGAAAUUUCCACAACAGUUAAAUUGAAACCUAGAUCUAAAGAAUUAAUAAAAAGAGACUACCUUUUGCGUUGUCUUUGGGUCCGCUCACGAUCGGUUGAUUUGCGGCGGUUUUGUUUGCGGUGGAGUGAGCUCCGGUUGUUGCCUUGUGCUCCGGUACGUUCCGACUCGGCUUCGACGCGUCUGUUUGCUUCUGUUGGUGUAUGAAUCCGAUUCAGUGGUUCCGGCGAUCCGCUGCAGCUCGUUCAUUACCUGGUGUUGGGCUCGACGUCAGUUGAUUGUGCGACCGGUUUAUGGCUGUACGUCGUGU